GAAUGUGAGGGCGAUCUGGCUGCGACAUUUGUCACCCACUGAGCGCCAGAGUUGAUUGGGCUGAUCUGGCUGGCUAGGCGGGUGUCCCCUUCCUCCCUCAACGCUCCAUGUGCGUCCCUCCCGAAGCCGCAGGCUUGGUCGAAGAGGACGACCACCCCCAAUAGAGGAGGACUGUUUCUCGGUCAAAGGUAUAGGAGAAGCCGCGCUCCUCUGCUAGAACCUCCAAACAAGCUCUCAAGAUAUAGCAAGCUGGGACUGAAACCUCAUGACAUCUCACGCUGCAUUUGUUGUACUUUAUUAAACAUUCUUC
This 310-nucleotide small nuclear RNA is filed under the name Chinchilla lanigera (long-tailed chinchilla). RNAcentral's name for it is "7SK RNA (ENSCLAG00000021639.1)". It matches the Rfam family "7SK RNA". From Rfam's summary of the family: 7SK was discovered as an abundant small nuclear RNA in the mid-70s but a possible function has only recently been suggested. Two independent studies have found that 7SK RNA binds the CDK9/cyclin T complex (known as elongation factor P-TEFb). P-TEFb activates transcription by phosphorylating the C-terminal domain of RNA polymerase II. The record is from Rfam by way of RNAcentral. Lineage: Eukaryota; Metazoa; Chordata; Mammalia; Rodentia; Chinchillidae.